Pelobates cultripes (western spadefoot toad) is the source of this 228-nucleotide non-coding RNA. The record is from the annotation of a GenBank genome assembly. NCBI's taxonomy places the organism in Eukaryota, Metazoa, Chordata, Amphibia, Anura, Pelobatidae.
CUCUGAUUGUAGGUCUGGAAAGGAUUUUAGACCUUUAGAUGUGUAGAGGUGGUAGAUGUGUAAUGCCCUUCUCAUUCCAUGUCUUGUGCGGGAAUGUACCGUUGAAGUGGUGUAAGGUCUUGAUGGGGGCAGCCAGGGCCCAUGGGUGGGCCGUGCAUAGUUUGCUCCUCUGGGCGUCCCAUGUGGACAUCAGAAGUCUGGUAGUGGGUAGCAUGUCCAGAGUUUGGG